UGGAUCGUCGGCAGCGGUGACCGGAGGCGUCGGGCAUGGCCGGAGACGCUCCGGCGCGUGACGGAUCCGCGGCGGUGGCCCCCGCGCCUCCCCGACGCUGGUGGCCUUCCCGCGCAUCCUCCUGCCGGAGGCGCCAGUGGAGUACCGGCGGAGGAGGGCCCGGGGGAGGGCCCCGGCGGCGCCAGUGGAGUACCCGCCGGUGCAGGAGGAGGGCCAGCACAGGGAGCCCUCGGGGUCACGCAGCCUCUGCCUCCUCAGCACCGGCGCGUCCUGGCGAGCAGCGUGAGGAGGGCCGGCUCGGGAAGCCCAGGAGGAGGGCCAUGGCGCCGCUCGCCGGAGCACAUACCCCGCCUUGUUACUCGUCCGUCCUACCUCCUCAGUGGCACGUUUCGAUUUCCCGUGGGGAGAUGCCACAUACCUCGAGGCCACACUCGAGAAUCUCGAGUUCUCUAAUGAACUUGGAUGUAAGGGCGGCCCUGGUGUGGGAGGCGGCGUGGCCUCGGCAGAAGGACCAGACGGAGUCCAGUGUGGAAGGAAGCAAGAAGGAAGGGACAAUUUUUUCGGGUCGAUUAUUGUUGUUCUGGGUUGAUUACCACAUCAACUAAGUUGUGUUCUCUUUUAAGCUCUCGAUCUGGAGCUGUACAUGCCCAGGAUGGUCUUGACGGCGCUGCUGCUGCUACUGGUUAAUUAUGAGGACUUGGUGCUCCAUUAUCUCCUCAUGUCACUUAUGUGGGUGGCGAGGAGAUCAACGAGAUGUCUCGCACCUCCGGUGCACGAUGACAAGAUGGUGGGGCCUUUUGGCGUUCUUGCAAUCCGGUUUCCUCGGCCAGAGUUGGACGACCUAGCCAGCAACACCUCUUCAUCUCGAACUUGUCACUAGAUGCCAAAGGAGAGGUGUAGAUUCGGGAUCAGUGGUGCAUUGCUUACUAAAAAGUAGAGCUUUGAACAAUUACUUUUGAACAAAAGGACAGAUGGAUUAUCUCGAUCAUUGCCCAACAUUGGACAAUAAUAAUAUUUUCCCUUCAUACAGUGGAGCUGGAGUGCUUAAAGGAAUUUUAAUGAAAAAUAAUCCUCUUGAACUCUCUUCUAUCUCCAUGGCUGAUAUGUUGAUGCUCUUGCCUUCCUCAUGUGUGAGGUCCAGCACUUCAAUGCCAAGGCUGGAAUUGCUUUGGGACAGACUGAGCAUGGGUGAAAGCAAGGUAUUACUGUAAUAAUUCAGUUUACUAUACCUUUGGGCAUGGACAUGAGCAUCUUGAGCCUACUUUCACUCCCAC
Molecule: non-coding RNA, 1274 nt
Organism: Lolium perenne
Lineage: Eukaryota; Viridiplantae; Streptophyta; Magnoliopsida; Poales; Poaceae
Source: RefSeq, a predicted model, not a curated record